GGCCACCUUGGCUCACAGGCAAUGUAUAGACCUCUCAUAGCCAUGCACAAGGAAAAUAUGGCACAGAAGCUACACGAUGGGGAGUCUUCUGAAGAGGAAGAGAUUUUCAGUAAGGAUGCAAGGGCACCCAGAGACGGCACAGCAGAGGUGGUUCUGACCACAGGGCCAGGAGAGCCAGACAAGGAAAGUGAGGCAGCACAGGAGAGUGAUGGGGUGUGAGCCACGUUCCCCCACAGGCCGCCUGCAAACUUUCUUUUCAAAUGUUGUCUUCUCAGCAUAGCUAAUAAAAUGCUUGUUUUUCUCC
Non-coding RNA from Vicugna pacos (alpaca), 304 nucleotides. The record is from RefSeq and is a predicted model, not a curated record. Lineage: Eukaryota; Metazoa; Chordata; Mammalia; Artiodactyla; Camelidae.